RNAcentral lists this ribosomal RNA (393 nucleotides) under uncultured bacterium. RNAcentral's name for it is "partial 16S ribosomal RNA". It matches the Rfam family "Bacterial small subunit ribosomal RNA", at positions 523 to 918 of the family's 1533-position model. The record is from RNAcentral.
AUACGGAAGGUGCGAGCGUUAUCCGGAUUUAUUGGGUUUAAAGGGAGCGUAGGCGGAGCGCCAAGUCAGCUGUGAAAUCCUGCGGCUCAACCGUGGGCCUGCAGUUGAAACUGGCGUUCUUGAGUGCACAUGAGGAUGGUGGAAUUCGUGGUGUAGCGGUGAAAUGCUUAGAUAUCACGAAGAACUCCGAUUGCGAAGGCAGCUGUCUGGGGUGCAACUGACGCUGAGGCUCGAAAGUGCGGGUAUCAAACAGGAUUAGAUACCCUGGUAGUCCGCACAGUAAACGAUGGAUACUCGCGGUCGGCGAUACACAGUCGGUCGCCAAGCGAAAGCGAUAAGUAUCCCACCUGGGGAGUACGCCGGCAACGGUGAAACUCAAAGGAAUUGACGGGG